AAGGACUAGACUAGCUGCUGGUCAUCCUAUUUUCUACUAGUAAAACUCAUUUUUUUGUAUUUUUGACUUCACCAUGGUGUUUAAAAACACCGAAUUAGCUCAGUAGUUUAUUGUGGCCUUCAAAUCUUACUCCCUUUCUUCAUAAUGGCUUCCGAAGUGGUAAAAUUUACUUUUACCAAGAUCUUAAACAUUGCUCUAAAAAUUCCUAAAAAAUUAUAAAUAAAUUCUGGAAAAUCCUAUAAUAUUUCUAUAAUGCUAAUAUCCAUGUAAAGCUACAUUUUCCUACCUUCAUGAUUUUUGAUAAUAAUAAAUAUCAAUUUAAAUCUACUAUAAAUCCUAUUUUUUAUAUCAAUAACUAAAAUGACAUGAGGUUCUUUCUCAUGCUUCUUCUAACUACUAAUAUUUA
Molecule: long non-coding RNA, 406 nt
Filed under: Physcomitrium patens
Lineage: Eukaryota; Viridiplantae; Streptophyta; Bryopsida; Funariales; Funariaceae
Description: long non-coding RNA (PPAT_LNC004480)
Source: RNAcentral